ACAUGAUGAGACUCCAGCUGGCACCAGUCUGAGAAGACUUGUACUCUUUACAUGCGGAUCAGCUUUAUAUGGCUACAUGCCUACCCUCUGAA
RNAcentral lists this small nucleolar RNA (92 nucleotides) under Exophiala spinifera. Its description in RNAcentral is "A. fumigatus snoRNA Afu_190". It matches the Rfam family "A. fumigatus snoRNA Afu_190". The record is from Rfam by way of RNAcentral. Lineage: Eukaryota; Fungi; Ascomycota; Eurotiomycetes; Chaetothyriales; Herpotrichiellaceae.